GACCGCGCAGCUCAGUUGGCAGAGCAUUGGGCUAGUAUUCCAAAGGUCGUAGGUUCGAUUCCCACCGUGGCCG
Paramuricea clavata is the source of this 73-nucleotide non-coding RNA. NCBI's taxonomy places the organism in Eukaryota, Metazoa, Cnidaria, Anthozoa, Malacalcyonacea, Plexauridae. The record is from the annotation of a GenBank genome assembly.